This 597-nucleotide ribosomal RNA is filed under the name Fibulobasidium sp. Its description in RNAcentral is "partial large subunit ribosomal RNA". It matches the Rfam family "Eukaryotic large subunit ribosomal RNA", at positions 62 to 648 of the family's 3401-position model. The record is from RNAcentral. Lineage: Eukaryota; Fungi; Basidiomycota; Tremellomycetes; Tremellales; Sirobasidiaceae.
AAACUAACAAGGAUUCCCCUAGUAACGGCGAGUGAACCGGGAAGAGCUCAAAUUUGUAAUCUGGCGUGCUCCGUGCGUCCGAGUUGUAAUCUACAGAGGCGUUUUCCGCGUCGGACCGUGUUUAAGUCCCUUGGAACAGGGUAUCAAAGAGGGUGACAAUCCCGUGCUUGACACGACGACCGAUGCUAUGUGAUACGCUUUCUACGAGUCGAGUUGUUUGGGAAUGCAGCUCAAAAUGGGUGGUAAAUUCCAUCUAAAGCUAAAUAUUGGCGAGAGACCGAUAGCGAACAAGUACCGUGAGGGAAAGAUGAAAAGCACUUUGGAAAGAGAGUUAAACAGUACGUGAAAUUGUUGAAAGGGAAACGAUUGAAGUCAGUCGUGUCGGUCGAGUUCAGCCGGGUCUCCCGGUGUAUUCUCGGCCGGCGGGUCAACAUCAGUUUGAGCCGGCGGAUAAUGGCAGGAGGAAGGUGGCACCCUCGGGUGUGUUAUAGCCUCCCGUCGCAUACGCUGGCCCAGACUGAGGACUGCAGCUCGCCUUUACGGCAGGGGUUCGCCCACUUCCGAGCUUAGGAUGUUGACGUAAUGGCUUUAAACGAC